AUUGAACGCUGGCGGCAGGCCUAACACAUGCAAGUCGGACGGUAGCACAGAGAGCUUGCUCUUGGGUGACGAGUGGCGGACGGGUGAGUAAUGUCAGGGGAUCUGCCCGAUAGAGGGGGAUAACCACUGGAAACGGUGGCUAAUACCGCAUAACGUCGCAAGACCAAAGAGGGGGACCUUCGGGCCUCUCACUACCGGAUGAACCCAGAUGGGAUUAGCUAGUAGGCGGGGUAAUGGCCCACCUAGGCGACGAUCCCUAGCUGGUCUGAGAGGAUGACCAGCCACACUGGAACUGAGACACGGUCCAGACUCCUACGGGAGGCAGCAGUGGGGAAUAUUGCACAAUGGGCGCAAGCCUGAUGCAGCCAUGCCGCGUGUAUGAAGAAGGCCUUCGGGUUGUAAAGUACUUUCAGCGGGGAGGAAGGCGGUGAGGUUAAUAACCUUGCCGAUUGACGUUACCCGCAGAAGAAGCACCGGCUAACUUCGUGCCAGCAGCCGCAGUAA
RNAcentral lists this ribosomal RNA (504 nucleotides) under uncultured bacterium. RNAcentral's name for it is "partial 16S ribosomal RNA". It matches the Rfam family "Bacterial small subunit ribosomal RNA", at positions 29 to 523 of the family's 1533-position model. The record is from RNAcentral.